CCUACGGGAGGCAGCAGUAAGGAAUAUUGGACAAUGCUCGCAAGAGUGAUCCAGCCAUGCCGCGUGCAGGAAGAAUGCCCUAUGGGUAGUAAACUGCUUUUGAACUAGAGAAAACCCCAGUACGUGUACUGGGCUGAUAGUAUAGUUAGAAUAAGCAUCGGCUAACUUCGUGCCAGCAGCCGCGGUAAGACGAAGGAUGCAAGCGUUAUCCGGAUUCAUUGGGUUUAAAGGGAGCGUAGGUGGACUGAUAAGUCAGUGGUGAAAUCUCCGAGCUUAACUCGGAAAUUGCCAUUGAUACUGUUGGUCUUGAGUACAGUUGCUGUGGGCGGAAUAUGACAUGUAGUGGUGAAAUACAUAGAGAUGUCAUAGAACACCGAUUGCGAAGGCAGCUCACAAAGCUGUAACUGACACUGAGGCUCGAAAGUGGNGGAGUACAACAGAGUAGUAUACCUACGUAGUACGUCACCGUAACG
RNAcentral lists this ribosomal RNA (473 nucleotides) under uncultured bacterium. RNAcentral's name for it is "bacterial SSU rRNA". It matches the Rfam family "Bacterial small subunit ribosomal RNA", at positions 338 to 807 of the family's 1533-position model. The record is from RNAcentral.